UAUUUGUGUCUCAAAGCUUAUUAGAAGCCCUCAUUCCAGAAUUUCACUAAGUUUUUAAGGACUGUGGUUGUACUUGGAACUAAGAUAUUUCUUAUUUUCUGGGGUCUGCUAAAAAAUUAUAUAGUUAAAAAUAAUAAUAUUAUUUCUAUAAUGUAGAUUGCCCAUAUGAAAGUACUGACUUCAAAACAUUUAGUUACAUGCAAGCACUUAACUAAAAAUAAACAGCAACUUACUAUUUGACUAUGAAAGUUAUUCAUUUUUCAAUAAAGGGUGAUUUUAACUUUUCAAAGAUUUCCUAACUUUUCUUUUCACUUUUUAAGCACUAUAUCCUUCUUGACAGUUUUCAAAUGAAAUACUGAGAAAAAAAAAUGACUAAUGAAAUUAGGAUAUCCCAAUUACCUUGUAACUUUUCCUUUUAAUCACUUAAAUGCAAAUCAAAUGGUUUUUAGAAAGAGUAGUAACACUCUGCCAAAAUGUAAUGGUCUAUAAGCAUCGAUUAAAUCUCUUUUUGUGCCUCAUAUUUAAUUUUUUUACUUUGACACCGUAUCCUCACUGGGAUUACUCAUGGGAUCAUAGCUAUCUAUAUUUUGCAUUUAGAUCUGUCAUUUAAAAACACUGCUCCUGCUUUAACUUAUACAGCCAAUGAAAACCCUUGAGUCCUAACAUUCUAGAAUACAUAUUAUUUGGGAAUCAAAACAAAAAUACACAGGUUGAAGGAACUACUAGUGUCAGAAUUAAGGAAGUAUUUUUGCUUGUGACACUUCCCUACUAGAGUUAUUAUUUGCUUUAGUCUGCUCACACAUCAUUAGUUAUUGUGAAAUGUAGAAAUUCCAGGGAUAGAAGGAAGUGCAGUGGGUAGAGAAGAGGGAGACAGACACUAAAAUGCACAGUGAAACCUGCAAAGCUUGGGAACAAAGAGCAAAAGCUUUCUCUCACUCCUGUAACAGACAUGUUGAGUUCUGUGACAACGAAGUAAGAAAUCAUGGUAGGUCCAAAUGUUCAAUUUUCAACCAAGAAUUUGGUUGUCGAGACCUUACCAAUUUAACCUGCUGGUAAGAAAUGUGAUGUCACUCUGAAUUGAGGCAGAGUAAGUAUACGUUAAUGUGAAGGUAAGUAGGUUGACAUGCUGUCAUGGAAAGUUGUACUUUUCUCCAGGCUUGCUAAAGGUCAGAGACAGAAAACAUGUGUUAUAUUCUUUACCCAAGCACACAGCAAAUCCAAGAAACUGUGUACCAAAGAUACAGUACAGUUUAAAAAUACAAAUUGUUUCAAUAAGAAUUAAUGAAAAUUGAAAAUACUUUAAAUGGUCUAUAAUAGGAAAUUGCUACUUCUGGUAGAUUGAGUCAAUGCAGUUGUAAAAUUUCAUAAUUAGGGAAAAAACAGAUACAAAAAUUCAUAAAAUAAUAAGUAAAUAAGCUUAGAACCAAGGCUAUAUUUAAGCAAUUAAGAUUGAUAAGGUCUAGAUGGGAAUAAAAACAAAACACUUUGUAUGUUAGUGGAAUUAGCAGGACUUUCACCCUAAAUUUCUUUUAUGUAUUUUUUACUGUUUACACAAAGUUUUGUGCAACAAAAUAAAAUAAGGAUAGUACAGGGAAAGUGUCUUGGGAAUAAAAACAAAACAGUUUGUGUGUUAGUGGAAUUAGCAGGACUUUCACCCUAAAUUUCUUUUAUGUAUUUUUUACUGUUUACACAAAGUUUUGUGCAACAAAAUAAAAUAAGGAUAGUACAGGGAAAGUGUCUCAUUUUUGAUCAAUUAUAAAGCUAGUAAAAGAAGGCUAGAAAAUUAUAAGCAUAUAAACUAAACACAUUCUUACUAUAUAUAUAGUCCAGAAAUAUCAUUUCUAGAUAUAUACCCAAUAUAAAUGUGAAAAAAGGUUCAUCAAAAGUCAAAAGAUAUGCUCUAAAAUAUUCUUGGUAGCACUAUUCAUAAUAACUUCAAGCCAAAAACUAUUCAAAUACCCAUCAAUGGUAGAAUGGAUAGGUAAACUGGAUAUUCACCCAGUUGAAUGUUAUAGAGCAGGGGGAAUGAACGUCUACGAUUACGUGCCAUAAUAUGGACAAAUCUCAGAAACACAAUUUCAAAGACAGAAGAACAUACUUGUCUUGUGUCUGGCUUUUCUCACUCAAUAUUAUGUUUGUGAGAUUCCAUUUGUAUAAUGUAAUUGAAAAUCCACAAUAAAUCCUUUCAGAACAAAUGUACAACACUUUAGGCCAUGGGAAAAAAUGUGCCAGAGAAAACUAAGAAUUUCAAUGGGCUAUUAGGAGUCAACAUGUACAUCAAAGUUCAAAUUUGCUACAAUGACAUACAUUCAUUUUACCUUGAAAUCUUUAUAAUAGUUUCUCGUUAUAAAACCUAUGUGCAUGCCCAUAUAUGUAUGCAUUCUAUAUAUGUAUACAUUAGACAUGUAUACAUAUGUGUGUGUGUAUAUAUAUGUAUAUGGAGAUAUACACAGAUCUUAUCACUUUACAAUAGAGCUAUGCCUGGACAAAACCAUUGUAAGUUAAAAAUACCAUAAGUUGAAAAUGUAUUUAGUAUACCUAACCUAGCUUUAACCUAACUUAAAUGUGCUCUGAACACUUAGAUUAGCCUACAGUUGGGCAAAAUCAUAGAACACACAUCCUAUUAUAUAAUAAACUAUUGAUUAUCUCAUGUAAUUUAUUGAAUACUGUACUGAUGGUGUACAAAAAAACAGAAUGACUGUAAACUCUUGUGAUUACAUGGAUGACUGGGAUCUGUGGCUGUUGCUGCUCCACAUCCCAAGAGAGUGUUCUAGGGCAUAUCACUAGCCCAGGGAAAGGUAAAACUUCAAAGUAUGGUUUCUAGUGAAUGUAUCACUUUCACACCAUCAUAAAGCUGCAAAGUCAUAAAUCAAACCAUCCUAAGUUGGUCUGGGGACCAUCUACAUUCUAAAGCUUUUCUGUGGCAAAAACAGCUAUAUGUCUACCAAAGUAUUGUCUUCCCUUUCCAUAGUAAGAACUAUUGCUGAGAAGUGGCCACUUAGCCAGGGACUCUCUUUACUAGACCCUCAACUCUUCUCUCCUCAGGUGAGAUAAAAUGACUACUUCUAGCCAAUGGAACAUGAGCAUAAAGGAUGUUUUGGUUAAGAACAAGCACACUUUCUUCACAUUACCCUCUUCCCUCCAUUUGCCAACAGGAUCCAGAAAAUCCAGACUAAAACUCCAAGAUAUUAUUUGAUGAACAAAUCAUAAGGUGGACAAAGCAUGAGUCUCUGAAUAUCCACACAGGAGGCUGCCCAUCUACCAGAAUCAUCCACAUUGACUGAACUUUUACAUGAGCCAAAAAUAACCUAUUAAGUCUGAAAUUUGGAGGUUUGUUUGGUAGCAAAUUAGUUUAAUAUAGUGUUUUGAGUUUUCUUUAAUGCUGCCUUGACCCAGACUUGAGACCAUGCCUAAAGGCUAGUCAGUUUCCCUUUUUGAAGUUAAGACCACACUCUAACCAUUUCUCUUAUCGGCGCUCACACACCAGCCUACUAAGCUCCUGCCCUCAUCAUCCUCAGGCCAUCUACAGUCUUUGUGGCCCUGGAGCCCACAAAAUCAUCCAAAUUAGCCAAUCUAUAAGAAGACUAAGAAACCUAGAUAACUCUAUUCUUCUUGUACAUAAUGUGCCCUCUAUAGCUCCAGCUUGCUCUUCUCCUGUCCCAGGUGCAACUCUCUUUGUGACCCUGCCUCAAAGCCACCUCUUACUUGAUUAAAGAUAUAAGUCACAAAGAUUUCUGCCUUUCAUCUAUCCAAGUAUUGUGUCCCACCAUCAAAAGAAUCUUAAAUCUUAUAAAAUAUGAAUUCAGGGCUAUCUUAAUUAAAAUAUAUCCCACACUUCUUUCUGUAAAAUACGUUUAGCAUUCAAAGAUUUAAUAUUUGGGGGGGGGGGGUUCUCCCAAGAAUACCAAAGGUUCAUUACAAGUAGUAGUUUGUAUAUUUGCUGAAACACAAAUUUGAAUAACUUCAAGGAUGGUUGAAUACACACGCUAUUUAACUAGCAAUUGGGUUUAUGGAGUUGCCCAGUAUCUGCAUUUCAAUGUGGUUUUGUUCUUGCCUUAUUAACUACCUUUGCAGAAAAUAUAGUAAAGUGCCAAAAUCUGUAUUUCUUUGUGAAAAACAAUCAUUGAGUGAAGGAUAAACUUCAGUGAAAUCUGAGAGGGUUGAGGGCAGCCCGGGUGGCUCAG
This 4184-nucleotide long non-coding RNA is filed under the name Canis lupus familiaris (dog). RNAcentral describes it as "lncRNA (ENSCAFG00000053527.1)". Lineage: Eukaryota; Metazoa; Chordata; Mammalia; Carnivora; Canidae. The record is from RNAcentral.